This 380-nucleotide ribosomal RNA is filed under the name uncultured eukaryote. Its description in RNAcentral is "partial 18S ribosomal RNA". It matches the Rfam family "Eukaryotic small subunit ribosomal RNA", at positions 592 to 976 of the family's 1831-position model. The record is from RNAcentral.
CAAUAGCGUAUAUUAAAGUUGUUGCAGUUAAAAAGCUCGUAGUUGGAUUUGUGGCGUACGGUGUGUUCCGGGCACUUGUUGUCUGAGUAACCUGCUGUUGCCAUCCUUGGGUGGAACCUGUGUGGCAUUAGGUUGUCGUGCAGGGGAUGCCCAUCAUUUACUGUGAAAAAAUUAGAGUGUUCAAAGCAGGCUUAUGCCGUUGAAUAUAUUAGCAUGGAAUAAUGAGAUAGGACUUUCUUGCUAUUUUGUUGGUUUGCGCAAAGAGGUAAUGAUUAAUAGGGACAGUUGGGGGUAUUCGUAUUCCAUCGUCAGAGGUGAAAUUCUUGGAUUUUUGGAAGACGAACUACUGCGAAAGCAUUUACCAAGGAUGUUUUCAUUAA